UGGGGAAUUUUGCACAAUGGGCGCAAGCCUGAUGCAGCGACGCCGCGUGAGGGAUGAAGGCCUUCGGGUUGUAAACCUUUUUCGCUCAUGGUCAAGCCGCAGCUUUGGGUUGUGGUGAGGGUAGCGGGUAAAGAAGCGCCGGCUAACUACGUGCCAGCAGCCGCGGUAAUACGUAGGGCGCGAGCGUUGUCCGGAAUUAUUGGGCGUAAAGGGCUUGUAGGCGGUUGGCCGCGUCUGCCGUGAAAUCCUCUGGCUUAACUGGGGGCGUGCGGUGGGUACGGGUUGACUUGAGUGCGGUAGGGGAGACUGGAAUUCCUGGUGUAGCGGUGGAAUGCGCAGAUAUCAGGAGGAACACCGGUGGCGAAGGCGGGUCUCUGGGCCGUUACUGACGCUGAGGAGCGAAAGCGUGGGGAGCGAACAGG
This 422-nucleotide ribosomal RNA is filed under the name bacterium. Its description in RNAcentral is "partial 16S ribosomal RNA". It matches the Rfam family "Bacterial small subunit ribosomal RNA", at positions 355 to 776 of the family's 1533-position model. The record is from RNAcentral. RNAcentral also lists the same sequence under 1 other name.